CUGCAUGCUAAUCAUUAGUGGCUGCAGGUCAGCCGUCCGGGGUCACACCAAAAAAGGCAGAAACUCUGUUUUGGCCAUGCAUCUUCUCAAAAGCGUCCAGAGCAUAUUGGAGCUGCAUCUGCUCCUGCAGGAACAGUAGAUUUCCAGACGUUGUGGAGAAAGUUAAGGUUUGCUGAAAAAGAAAGUGAGUUCUGCAACCAGAAUGACAAACUACACCAGCGGCUGAAAAGGCACAUCCUGCACACGUGCAGGCAGAGCUCCUCUGGAGAAGGCAGAGGCUGUGGGUUUGAGGGGAAACGGGUGAGCAGGCGGCAGUUAGAGAAGGGGUGUGGAAAAUGUGCAGGGAGGGGGGCGACUGAAGAAGUCCAGCCAUAUAAAAAGGGAGACAGAACACAGGCCGUGCUUUAUUCUCCCCGUCUGUCCUGCUCGCUCAGACCUCACAGGAAACCUCCAACUCCCCCGGCUCUCCAGCUCGCCUCCACUUCCCACACUUUUUUGAACUUUCUCAGGCGGUCCCGCCAGCUGUGCUUCAUCUGGGAGGAUGGCUACGUCCAUGCUGGGAAUGAAUGGGCUCUGCAGAAUAGCUGGAGCUCUGCUGCUCUUCGCUCUACUGAGGAGGGAAUGCAAUUCCAGGAGGGGAGACUUUCUGCAGCUGCAACCCCCAGCUCCCCCCAACACCCCUCCCUCUCUCUAUGUCCCCUCCCUGGUUACUCAAGGGAGGAAGCAGGCCUCAUCUUCACAUGCUAUAAAUGA
This 753-nucleotide long non-coding RNA is filed under the name Oryzias sinensis (Chinese medaka). RNAcentral's name for it is "lncRNA (ENSOSIG00000015955.1)". Lineage: Eukaryota; Metazoa; Chordata; Actinopteri; Beloniformes; Adrianichthyidae. The record is from RNAcentral.